This 75-nucleotide transfer RNA is filed under the name Mycobacterium kansasii. Its description in RNAcentral is "tRNA-Lys". It matches the Rfam family "tRNA". Rfam says of the family: Transfer RNA (tRNA) molecules are approximately 80 nucleotides in length. Their secondary structure includes four short double-helical elements and three loops (D, anti-codon, and T loops). Further hydrogen bonds mediate the characteristic L-shaped molecular structure. tRNAs have two regions of fundamental functional importance: the anti-codon, which is responsible for specific mRNA codon recognition, and the 3' end, to which the tRNAs corresponding amino acid is attached (by aminoacyl-tRNA synthetases). tRNAs cope with the degeneracy of the genetic code in two manners: having more than one tRNA (with a specific anti-codon) for a particular amino acid; and 'wobble' base-pairing, i.e. permitting non-standard base-pairing at the 3rd anti-codon position. RNAcentral also lists the same sequence under 5 other names. The record is from RNAcentral. Lineage: Bacteria; Bacillati; Actinomycetota; Actinomycetes; Mycobacteriales; Mycobacteriaceae.
GCCCCUAUAGCUCAGUUGGUAGAGCUACGGACUUUUAAUCCGCAGGUCCCAGGUUCGAGUCCUGGUGGGGGCACC